AUCCAGCUGGCACAGAGCUGGGGUGGGCACAGAGCUGGGGUGGGCACAGAGCUGGGUGUGGAACACAGUCCGAGUCUACACUGGGUGGCCUGCUGCCUGCCGCCCCCCAGAUGUGUCAGUAGGAAACCGGAUUGGAACCCGGCAGCUAGCGCUCGAACCAGCACCCCCAUGCGGAGUGGGGGUGGGCUAAGCAGUGCCACAGAGCCCACUCCCAUUAAAAACCACAAAACGUGUUUAUUAAGUUGAAAACCAGGGUUCUGGGGAAACAUGCGCACACACACACACACUCACUCACUCUUCCCAAGUGGCACAGUCAGUGCAGGUGGGCUGGUCGGAAGCCAGGACCAGGAGCUUCUUCCGGUAUUAUUAUUCUUUUUUUCUUUUCUUACUCCUGACCUGACCAGUGCUUGAGUGUCGCCUGCAGCCUCUGCUCGGCCAGGAGGCCCCGUCUGCAUUUUCUCUCCUUGGUCCCACUGCCACAGUCUCUCCUGCUUCUUCCGUGCUCCUGCCCAUCUGGCUUAGCGAUGAUGACACAGAAGCAGGAUGGUGCUUGUUCCCUAGUGACUCGUGGCCAUUUGGGCUCCCAACUGUGAGCUUUCCCCCUUUGCCCCGAAACUUUGAUUUCCAGCUAGCUGCACGUCCCUGGAGCAGCGUCGGAGUGUCUGCCCAUUUGUGUGGUGAGGGUUGGUGGAGAAGGUCUGUCUGGGAGAGGGAGGGGAUGUGUUCCUGUGGUGGCUGGAGCCCCUCAGAGAGCUUGAGUGUUUGUGUGGUCCCCAGGUGAGCGGAUCAGAGCUCCUUAGCUCAGAUACCUGCAGUGUGACCACUCCGCCUUCUCCGGGUGAACGAGGGAGGAGUUGCCAGGGUGCCCGCUGGUAUUGUGCUGUGGGCUUCAGGAGCCGUGAAAAUUGAGCCUGAGAACUUGGAAAAGGUUGCAGAUUUGAGUGUGGAAGAUCCUGUUGCUUUCAUCUGCAUCUAAA
This is a long non-coding RNA of Ochotona curzoniae (black-lipped pika), 977 nucleotides long. RefSeq lists it as uncharacterized. The transcript has 2 exons. The record is from RefSeq and is a predicted model, not a curated record. NCBI's taxonomy places the organism in Eukaryota, Metazoa, Chordata, Mammalia, Lagomorpha, Ochotonidae.